This 416-nucleotide ribosomal RNA is filed under the name uncultured microorganism. Its description in RNAcentral is "bacterial SSU rRNA". It matches the Rfam family "Archaeal small subunit ribosomal RNA", at positions 330 to 745 of the family's 1478-position model. The record is from RNAcentral.
GUGCAGCAGUCGCGAAACCUCCGCAAUGCGGGAAACCGCGACGGGGGACCCCGAGUGCCGUGGCAACGCCACGGCUUUUCCGGAGUGUAAAAAGCUCCGGGAAUAAGGGCUGGGCAAGGCCGGUGGCAGCCGCCGCGGUAAUACCGGCGGCCCGAGUGGUGGCCGCUAUUAUUGGGCCUAAAGCGUCCGUAGCCGGGCCCGUAAGUCCCUGGCGAAAUCCCACGGCUCAACCGUGGGGCUUGCUGGGGAUACUGCGGGUCUUGGGACCGGGAGAGGCGGGGGGUACCCCUGGGGUAGGGGUGAAAUCCUAUAAUCCCCAGGGGGACCGCCAGUGGCGAAGGCGCCCCGCUGGAACGGGUCCGACGGUGAGGGACGAAGGCCAGGGGGAGCAAAACCGGAUUAGAUACCCCCGUAGU